This 1255-nucleotide unclassified non-coding RNA is filed under the name Sinorhizobium sp. CCBAU 83493. Its description in RNAcentral is "partial contains 16S ribosomal RNA, 16S-23S ribosomal RNA intergenic spacer, and 23S ribosomal RNA". The stretch from base 250 to 323 matches the Rfam family "tRNA". Lineage: Bacteria; Pseudomonadati; Pseudomonadota; Alphaproteobacteria; Hyphomicrobiales; Rhizobiaceae. The record is from RNAcentral.
AGGGGGGGGUAUGGGAAGACGGCAUCUUCGGAUGCAUGACCUUUCCCGUGCUUUUUAGAACAUAGAUGGCACCAGUCAGGUGACCAUCGAACGCAAUACGUCGAGUAUGGCGAUUUGGUUGUCCUUCGAGCGCUAAGCGAGAAGGGCGGAUAGCCAAAUCCCGCUCAGAUAUGGCGAGACCCGCCGUCCACGUUUCUCUUUCUCACAAGGAUACGAACCACGCCGCAUCAUGUUGCGUGCUUAACGAAUGGGCCCGUAGCUCAGGUGGUUAGAGCGCACGCCUGAUAAGCGUGAGGUCGGCAGUUCGAGUCUGCCCGGGCCCACCAUUCGCUUAUGCGAAUGUGUCCUGACGUUGUCGCGAUCUAAAGAUCGCUUCGCUCCGGCGGGCCGCCGAACGAUCGGCGACGGGCUUGCCCCUUGCGGCCGCUAUGCGCCGUCGGGUGCACGACGUGUUCACCCGAAUAUGGGGCUGUAGCUCAGCUGGGAGAGCACCUGCUUUGCAAGCAGGGGGUCAGCGGUUCGAUCCCGCUCAGCUCCACCAUUCGAUUGGUGUUGAACUGGCGGAUAUUAUCCUUGGAGAAAAAAUAGGUUUGCAUCGUCUCCAUCGUGAGACGGAUGCCUGUUCUGCUUACAUUGUGAAGAGAAGAUAUGUCUGGAAGCUUCCAGGUGUUGAUGGUGAUCGAAAGGUUGCCUGAGACGUCCGAGCCCAGUCCCGAAGAAGCCAUGGAUGGUCUAGCCGACCGGAAGUGGAAGAGGGUCUGGAGGUAGGAGGGAAGUCUUGUCCUUUGAGGCAUGAUCGUUGUUGGGGUGUUCUUCGGAACGCGCCUCUGAUGGUCGUGUCGGAUUGGUGUUGCCUGACCGCGCAUCACCGGACAGAUCUCGAGAAGCUGGUCUUAAGAUAUGGCCUCGAAGUCGCUCGGCGUGACUUUUGUGAGGACCAUAUCGAACACGUCGAUGGCAUUGUUAGAAAGCGCGAUUGUAAAAGGUAAUCGCGCAUAGCUGGUCUGGCGACUGCAAGGUCUCCGGAUUUUGGCUGCUGCGGCAUACGAAAGUUGCCCGGAUGGCCAGAUUUGGCACCCCUUCGAGCGCAAGCGAGGAGGAUAGGUUUGCCAAAUCCAGCAAAGACGAUGAGCAUUGGCAAUGAGAACGAUCAAGUGAAAGAAGGGCAUUUGGUGGAUGCCUUGGCAUGCACAGGCGAUGAAGGACGUGAUACGCUGCGAAAAGCCGUGGGAGCUGCGAAUGAGCCUUACACCUU